GUGGGCUUUGCCCGCUACCUCUUACCCAUGUCUUUUGAGUACUUACGUUUCCUCGGCGGGUCCGCCCGCCGAUUGGACAAAAUUAAACCCUUUGCAGUUGCAAUCAGCGUCUGAAAAACAUAAUAGUUACAACUUUCAACAACGGAUCUCUUGGUUCUGGCAUCGAUGAAGAACGCAGCGAAAUGCGAUACGUAAUGUGAAUUGCAGAUUUCAGUGAAUCAUCGAAUCUUUGAACGCACAUUGCGCCCGCCAGUAUUCUGGCGGGCAUGCCUGUUCGAGCGUCAUUUCAACCAUCAAGCGCCUGCGCUUGUGUUGGAGCCCUGCGGCUGCCGCAGGCUCCCAAACCCAGUGGCGGGCUCGUCGUCGUACCGAGUGCAGUAAAUUUACCACGCUCAGGGCGCGCGACGGGUGACCGGCCGUAAAACCCCCCAACUUAUCAAGGUUGACCUCGGAUCAGGUAGGAAUACCCGCUGAACUUAAGCAUAUCAAUAA
This 492-nucleotide ribosomal RNA is filed under the name uncultured Schizothecium. Its description in RNAcentral is "eukaryotic LSU rRNA". The stretch from base 131 to 284 matches the Rfam family "5.8S ribosomal RNA". Lineage: Eukaryota; Fungi; Ascomycota; Sordariomycetes; Sordariales; Lasiosphaeriaceae. The record is from RNAcentral.